Molecule: long non-coding RNA, 2745 nt
Organism: Triticum aestivum (bread wheat)
Lineage: Eukaryota; Viridiplantae; Streptophyta; Magnoliopsida; Poales; Poaceae
Exons: 3
Source: RefSeq, a predicted model, not a curated record
AAAACACCAAUACUUUCAUCCUUCCCUUCCAUAUACAAAGCCAAUCCUAGGAAUCUGCGGUUUUGAUGGUAGGUCGUGGUACGUCGUCAUUCGCUUCCAUCGUUUCGCUUCGAUCGUAAUUCAAGUCUUUUCCGAUCGACGGAAUAAUCGUGUUGUAAUCCCCAGUUUCCAGGUAAGGCAAUUCUCUUCUGGAAAUAAUCCACGAUCAAAUCCUAACUUCCCGGUCCAAUCCCACCUACCACUUCAGUUUUUUUAGCAUACCAAAAUUUUCUAGCCUAACAAUUCCACCGGUUCUCUCCACAUCCCUCCUCACCUCAUGUAUCCCACGACCAUGUGAUGACCGAGGAACAACGCAGAUCUCAGGCCAUCACCUGCCGACCUCUCAUGUGCGGCCCGGAGGUCGACCCGUCCUGCUCCUCUUGUCCGCAGGUGCGCGUCGCCGCACGAUCUGCUCCUCCAGCCUACCUCCCGCACCGAGCCAACUCUCAUGCAUCUCAUACAGCGCGAGCUGCUCGUGGAGGCUCAGCUGUUCCUCCAUGAUGGCGACGUUGAGGGCUGGUGGAGGCCAAUCAUCAUGGACGUGUCUCGCUUUGUGCAAGUCGAGGUGGUCGCCGAGGGCGCCGCGGCACUUCCAGGAUCGUGAUCUACCACUACGACGAAGCCAUGAAGCUUCACCUCCGAGCAAAGGCCAGAUGUAAUACUUGCCUGUUCCCACGCACUGCUUGUUGGAUUUUUUUGGCUACCUUUUGUUGCUAAGACUAGACCUAAGCAUAUGAGUUAUGUCAAAUUCAGCGCCGAUCAGCAAUAUAUGUGGACGAUAUGAUGAAGGUCGUUGCAUGCUGCAGCUAACUCUGACCUAGCAGGACACGUUAGUAAUUUAGUAUGCAUAUGUUGUCUUCCUAAUGUACAAGCUGACAAGUAGUUGAAUGCCAUGACAUGAUGUUUCCUUCGUAGUCAUGCAGAUUUUGUAGCUUGCAAGAUCCUUAUCUCUAUAAUGUUCAAGUGAAUGGAUGAGAGAUCAGUUUCCUACUCAAUCGGUGUUCUCUCAACAAUCUGAACUAAUUUGGUGAUUGGUUUAUUACCUUCUAGGCGAAAUCACCUCACGAUAUUAUAGAGCCAGUAAAUCUGGAGCCUACAAGUUUGUUUCCUUCUUUUGCAAUGCAAAGUAAAAAAACUCAUUGUGUGAGGGUGAAGCUAUUUUUUAGGAAAAACUAAAUCUUAUGAACUCUGGAAGUUAGAGCUUUAUGAUUUACCAAGUAUGGUUAUAAAUAGUUCUGGAGUUGCAACAACAUCCCAACUUUAACAGUACAUACACUAUAAGCCCUCUUAUGCAUGAUAUAUUGUUAUACUGAUAAAAUUACUAUUAGAGACAAAUUUCAGCUCUCAUAGGAUGCUGAUAUAUUGUAACCUUUUUGGAUAUUUUUGGUACUUUGUUUGAUGAUAAAAAAUGGAUCGUUGUCAUCUUUCGGAUGAAUAUUUUGAAGCUGGAUAAACUGGUUUUGUAGCAUGCCACUAACUGCUUCUGCGCAUAUACAUGCAAUUCUAUAUCUAUUUAUUGGAAGUCACAAAUAGAAUAUGAAGAAAAGCAUGUAAAAAGGCAGUAUGUUUUUAACAGGUUCUCUUCUACGCCAUACUUGCUUUGGAAUGUUCAGGAUGAGCUUCUUUAGGUACUUUGUGGAUGAUGAAGCAAAAUCAACGCUCUUCAGUUUUGUCGUUGUUUGAUUCGGCUUGCAGUUUCUACAAAUGUUGUGCCACUUAGGCUUUGGAUUGCGCCUUCUUAUAUGUUGACCAUCUCAUCUUUGCGGCAAAUACGCAGAUAUAUGUUAACCAUCUCAUAUACUCAUCUGUGCAUGUUUACGUAUUUCUUGUCUAACGGGUUCUUUUGGUGUGUCCUUGUAGAGACAAAAAAAAAUAGUAGGAGGCUUUAUAAACCAAAGGGGAAAAAACAAAUUUAUUAGCAAACUAAUCAAAUUCGGGCUCACAUCAAGGUAUUUUUUAGGGGUAUUAAUCCCAUGUGCUAAAUUCUGUGUUAGUAUAGUUGAAGCCCAGGUCACAUAUUGAUGAUUCAUAGUUCUCUGAUUGGUCUUCUCAUAUUAUUUGUCGUCUCCAAGCAAAUUCUGAGAAACCAUCGGAGUUCUUGAUGCUUCUAUUAAUUCAGAAAAAGCAAGUUAUUGUUUCCCUGGAGUUACUGUAUAUCUGCUAUGGGAUCGUUAGUUCAUGAGUGUUUCGACAUGGCACUCUGGAACAGGAGUUCAGAAUUUGCCACUGACCACACUCCGGCGUGAUCCCACCCAUGAUGCUACAUUAUGGGCUUUACAGGCAAGUGCCUGCUCUGUGACACCGUGCCUGCUAAGCUGAUGGCCUCCUCGCAAAUGUGUGCCAUGUGGGUGGCAGCGACAGGAACGAGACGAGCAGGAGGGUGCCCUUCUACCCGGAGUUGCAGCUGCUCUGAGGAUUCUUUAGAAGGACAUGGCAGUGUUCCUGAUGUUUGAUAUGAUAGAGAACAGGUGCAUGAAGGAAUGCCUCCAUGAUCUUCUCAGGGCGCCAUUCAUUGGAACUUGAUAAUAGGUACAAAUUUUGUCAUUGGUACGUUGCUGAUAAUGCAAUGUGUCCCCGGCACACUCAAAAAAAAAAUCCAUCGAGCAGCUGAAAUUGUACUACUUUUCAGAGAAGUUAGUGUUGUCGGCCACUCACUCUUUGCAAAAACUUCGCCGAAGGUUUUCUUCACCAUUUUGUGUCUGAUAG